Molecule: ribosomal RNA, 468 nt
Filed under: uncultured bacterium
Lineage: Bacteria
Description: partial 16S ribosomal RNA
Rfam family: Bacterial small subunit ribosomal RNA
Source: RNAcentral
GACGAACGCUGGCGGCGUGCUUAACACAUGCAAGUCGAACGGAAAGGCCCUGCUUUUGUGGGGUGCUCGAGUGGCGAACGGGUGAGUAACACGUGAGUAACCUGCCCUUGACUUUGGGAUAACUUCAGGAAACUGGGGCUAAUACCGGAUAGGAGCUCCUGCUGCAUGGUGGGGGUUGGAAAGUUUCGGCGGUUGGGGAUGGACUCGCGGCUUAUCAGCUUGUUGGUGGGGUAGUGGCUUACCAAGGCUUUGACGGGUAGCCGGCCUGAGAGGGUGACCGGCCACAUUGGGACUGAGAUACGGCCCAGACUCGUACGGGAGGCAGCAGUGGGGAAUAGUGAACAAUGGGCGGAAGCCUGAUGCAGCAACGCCGCGUGCGGGAUGACGGCCUUCGGGUUGUAAACCGCUUUCGCCUGUGACGAAGAGUGAGUGACGGUAAUGGGUAAAGAAGCACCGGCUAACUACGUG